RNAcentral lists this ribosomal RNA (430 nucleotides) under Ischnocnema aff. henselii MG-2013. RNAcentral describes it as "partial 16S ribosomal RNA". It matches the Rfam family "Archaeal large subunit ribosomal RNA", at positions 1939 to 2559 of the family's 2987-position model. Lineage: Eukaryota; Metazoa; Chordata; Amphibia; Anura; Brachycephalidae. The record is from RNAcentral.
GAGGUCCGACCUGCCCAGUGAUAUUAAUUCAACGGCCGCGGUAUUUUGACCGCGCUAAGGUAGCACAAUCACUUGUCUCUUAAAUGGGGACUAGUAUGAAAGGACCCACGAGAAUCUAACUGUCUCCUUUCUUUAAUCCGUGAAACUAAUCUCCCUGUGAAAAAGCAGGGAUCAUUAUAUAAGACGAGAAGACCCUAUGGAGCUUUAGAUAAAGCAAUACUUUCUUUUUCUAAAUCACUUUCAGAAGAAUACCCCCAAGACAUCUUGUUGCCAAUCUUCGGUUGGGGCGACCACGGAGUAAAACUAAUCCUCCACGCCGAAUGGAAUUUUCCAUAACAAAGAGCUACAGCUCUACGAACCAAAAAAUUGACAAUUGACCCAAUAUUUGAUCAACGAAACAAGUUACCCUAGGGAUAACAGCGCAAUCUAC